RNAcentral lists this ribosomal RNA (484 nucleotides) under uncultured bacterium. RNAcentral describes it as "partial 16S ribosomal RNA". It matches the Rfam family "Bacterial small subunit ribosomal RNA", at positions 30 to 507 of the family's 1533-position model. The record is from RNAcentral.
AUUGAACGCUGGCGGCAUGCCUUACACAUGCAAGUCGAACGGCAGCACGGACUUCGGUCUGGUGGCGAGUGGCGAACGGGUGAGUAAUGUAUCGGAACGUACCUGUCAGUGGGGGAUAACGUAGCGAAAGGUACGCUAAUACCGCAUAUUCUGUGAGCAGGAAAGCAGGGGAUCGAAAGACCUUGCGCUGAUUGAGCGGCCGAUAUCAGAUUAGCUAGUUGGUGGGGUAAAGGCCUACCAAGGCGACGAUCUGUAGCGGGUCUGAGAGGAUGAUCCGCCACACUGGAACUGAGACACGGUCCAGACUCCUACGGGAGGCAGCAGUGGGGAAUAUUGGACAAUGGGGGCAAGCCUGAUCCAGCCAUGCCGCGUGAGUGAAGAAGGUCUUCGGAUUGUAAAGCUCUUUCGGCCGGGAAGAAAGCGCGUAGGCUAAUACCUUGUGUGGAUGACGGUACCAGAAGAAGAAGCACCGGCUAACUACGUG